GGAUAUAAAAAGCUAUCUCUGUUUGCCAUUCAUCUUUACAUGCUGUAUGGGUUUGCUUUUACUAUGCAAGCCAAUUAUACAUUGGAUGCUACUUCUUCCUUCAAGAAAGAAAGUUUUCUUUUAAAGAAAUCAUAACAUUCACUUUAAAGUAUGAGCUACCACUUUAUUGCGCAUAGCUGGUUCUCACACGAAUGACACUGGCGAUUUAAAACAGUAGAUACACGAGAUUGAGCGUAAACUGAAGGCGUAGAUUUCAUGUCAUGUAAAAAACCUAUUUGCUUUUUCAUAUUUGGAGACACUCAUACCUCUUGUUCCCCGACUGAUAAAAUGCUGAAAGAUGCUGCAGAAGUAAAGGAAAAGGACAGGAUUGCAGUUUUGAGGUUUGAACAUAACAUGAGUUUUAUAAUACAUGAACAUUAAUGGAAUUUUCAUGUCAUUUUUAUCUCUUUUUGGUAAGAACCCGAGCUUUAGUUGAGAAACGAAUGAAAGGUUGACAACAACAUACAGAAAAACAAGCCUAACAAAAGAAGAAAGCAAGAACUAACUACAGAAAAAGACGUACUCCAAUCCUACAAAAUCAAACCAAGAUCAUAAUUAUGAAAGAAAAAAGAAUUUUCAUUCACAUCCAAAUGUGUCCUCCAUUAGCAACAAUUCUUCUUUCCAAGUUCCCAUAAAGCUCAUAGGCCAAAGUUUUGGAAGAUAGUAGACUAUUAUAUUCACUUAGAAGCUAUUUUAUGUCACUUCUGUUCGUAGAUAUGAUAUUAUGGUAAUGACUUUUUACUUUUAUAUAGAUCGUAAACAAAGAAAUAUGUCCAAUGACAUAAGAAAUAUACAUUAAGAUAAGGUACUUCUACAUCCAAUUUCAUAGCUUUGUCAAUUCAAAAAAUGGCAAUCAAGUCAGGUGGUGUUAGCAAGAAUCUAAGGAGAUGGCCGCCGGUCGACCUUUAAUCAAGGCCAAAAAUAGUGUUUUCAAUCUAACUGUCUCUAGCCAAAUGGCUGAAGAAAAUCUCUUCUGUACAAGAGAAAGUAAGGCCACCCAUUGGAUGAUCAUAUCCAAACUCCUCUUCAGCUUGACUCAACAAGUUAUGGAAUGAAGGAUUGCCCAAAUAUGCAACAGGGACCAAAAAUCUCUUCUUUUCAGUCUCUCCAACAUAGACAGCCAAGUGGCCUUUCGGCACGGCUGCAGUUCUCGACAACUGACGAAUACGCCAUGGGAAGUGCUUUGGAAUUGCAAUUCUUGGCAAAGGGAUGCCCAUUUUUGGUAAUAGGUGGUGGUAAAUGAAUCUCAAGAGAAUUGGAAAUGGUAGCUGCUGUGAUGGGAAUUGGUGUUCUUUGAAUUGUGUGUAUAUAUAAAGAAAACAAAUCGGCAAAUUGCCUUUUUGUAGUGAAAGAACAACCACAAUGGAUUGAGUUUUGGGCCAUAAUCUAUAAAGGUCACAUGGCUUUGUCCCCCAACAAAAAGCCAUGGUGAACUUCAUUUCCUAUUGUUAAUUUCUUUUUAUAACAAACCAUGAGGACCUACAAUUCUCAGUCAAACAAAUUAUUUUUUGGCCAUCAUCACAUUCAUACAUUGUGGAUCAUUUGAAAAGAAGAAAAGACGAGAAUCAUUUCAAGAGACCAAUAAGCAAAAUCAUAUGGCAGAUAAUCUUUUUAAAAACGUAAAUCAAAACGAUUGAUUUGUCGAUGUUCUUGACCAUAUACACGUGAAUUCUACAAGGUCUUGCAACCUUUGGUCUUUGGAAGCUAGCCAACAAAUACAUUAUCAUAAAAUGUCAUAAUAUUUAAACAAAAACCAUUGGCUACAUGAAGAUUACAGGAAUUUGGUCCUGAAUUUGAAGGGGUCAUAGAUCAAGUAGUUGAAAUAAAAUAGACCAAACAGUUUAUUUCUAUUUUCUUUUAAGUGAACUUUAGGAAUACAUGGGCAUCUACAAAUUAGGGCGGUAUAAAGAAAAAAGGACUCCAAUCAAGAAGAAUAAGACCUAGUAAGUAAUUACAAAAUGACUGUCAUUGAUGCCUAAACAGAAACACAGAAUCUAACAAGAGACCAAACGUCAGAAGGAUCUCUCUCAAUACCUCUAAUGCCCCCAAAGACUCCAAAAAACACAAACGUGGCGUGCACAAGGACCUUCCCUUCUCAUGAAACAGAGGAGGAAGAAGGAACUCCUUAGUCAUCUCCAUGCAGACUAACUGGAAACCAAGCACAUAACAAACAAUAAUUCCAAGCAGAUCAAGCAAUAUUCUUAUGUAUUUGUACCAAUAUCAAAUGAGUGUUAAAUUUAUCACAAAACAUUGAUUAAUCAUGGAUGAUACUUUUUGAUGAAAAGCAUUAUCUUAAUUAUUGAUGAUAUAAAGACGCAAAAGCAUUAUCUUAAUUAUCCAAAGUUAAUUUCACUUCAUUUCUUUUUGUGUGUAGCUUGAAAUGACUAUGCUUUAUGUCUUUCCUAUAAAUCCCAACUUUUUAGAAAAUAAAGUGAUAUGGGAAACUUUAAUAAUAACUUUUAUGUCAUGGACUCAUGCUUGUGGAGCCUAAUCAUAAAUAAUCUAGAAAAGAAAUCACAUAGAGCUCUAAAUAAGAGACCAAUUGUUGAGGAUAGAAUUAUAGUUAUAGAAAGUUUGGUGUUGUUUCAAAAUGUUAGAGCCCUAACAUUAAUUCAUUGUUGAAUAAAUCUUUCAAAAUUUAUGAAGUCCAACAAAAAUGAAUUAAUAGUUUAUUUAUUUUAACUUCUAUCAGCAUAAAUUCUAAAAUUUUGUAAAUAUAUUAGUUUAUUUGGUAUGUUUAAAAGCAUUCCUAAAAUUUAAUUGAAACAAAAUUACACAACUAAAGAAGCUUAAUACAAAUUAAAUCAUAAAAAUUUUACUAUAAAAUAUUAUUAAAUUCUAUUGUCAUGACAUUUAAUGCUAAUGAAUUAUAUUUUAACCAUUUAUUUGGUAUUAACAAAUAACUAAUUGAAAUAAAACUACAGCAAUUUAAAAGGUUAAUGUAUUUUUUUAUUAGAAAUUUUAUUAACAAAAAACAUAGAUUAAUCUUGUGUUAUACUAUAUUGAUAAGAAUUUUAUAUUUUUAACAAAGUAAACAAUAAUAGAUUAUUUAAUAUAAAAUUUUGAAUAGCUAAAAGUAAUAUAUAUAUAUAUAUAUAAAAUUAUUGAGUACAUAAUGAAGAGACUGAAAUUGUGAAACAAUUAAAAAAAUGUAUGGAUCCAAAGAGAGAGAAACGAUAGAAGUUGUAAAAUAUUUUUUAAAAAAGAACUUUUUUAUGGUGAGUGAUUCUUAAAUUGGUAUGAUCAUGGACAAGGUUUUCUUGCUUGAAUUUUAUCAUACACCAUCAAAGGGAAUCCAAAUUUUCAUUCACAUUCCUUGACUUUAAACCUCUUGAUAGAAAUGUAAUAUUGUUAUUUGUAAAUUUACCAACCAAUCUACAAUUCAUCGAUUGUGCGGUGCCAUCAAUGAAGGUCUUUUUUCUUUCUUUUUUGAGACAAUAGAACACACAACGAGCCUACACCAAACCAACUCAUCUCAAAGUAGGAGGACAAUCCCAGAAAAACACCUUUCCAAAUGAAAAAAUAGACUUUGUUGACGUAAGUAUAUGUAACCACUAGAGCCUUGCAAUUAAGAAAAUAAAUGCAACCACAAAGGUAAGAAACUUAACCUUCACAAUGUUUAGUAAAACAAAUUAUUUAUUAAUAUGUAUAUAAUCACUUUAAUUGAAUGCGAAAAUUUUGAUAGAUACAAACCUUUAGUUUUUCUAAAAGUCCAUCACCUUUCUUGCCAGCUUACCUAUCUCAAUUUAUCUUUUACCAAGGAUCAAAUAGACAUAAACAUCGUAAAUUAAACUAGUAGGUUAACCAAUUUUUACUCUUUAACAUUAUUCCGAGCAGUUGACAAAUUUAUAUGGGGCCAUAAAUGAGAUUCUUGUAUUCUUCAUUGUUAGGGAUCUACAAAGUCUCAAAAAUGAAUCUAAAUAUGAAAAUCAAUUGAGACACACCGAUCUAACUCAUUUUUUUAUCAAGAAGAAUUUGAGGGCAAAAACUUAGCUUGAAUGGGGAAAUUUAAAAUUUAUUGAAAGUACAAAGAAAUAAAAUUUAAACGGGAAGGACCAAAAUGGUAAUUUAACCAAAAAAUCUAAUAUCAAUAUUUUCCCCACUAGAUUUCUUUCAUUGUGUAUCCAUCUUGUAAAGAGAAUUCCAAGAUUCACAACCUUUCUAUCUCAACAAUUAAUAUAUACAUUAUCACAAUGAAAAGGAAAUCAUGCAUUCAAAUGUAACACAUUAUUACACUGAAAAGAAAAUCUUAAAAGCAUGUUUCAUAAAAAAGGUAAUCCUACUGGAUUCAUUGAUAUGAAGAAAGUGGUAGGUCACUAAUUUGCUGCAUUAUCGUACAGAAUGGCAAUCAGUAUGAAGAAAAUGAAUCAGAAGACAAAGGCAUGUGACUUCCUUCCAAGGCUUUCAUCUUCACUCCACUAAAACUAGUAGUUUUUAUGAUGUUAAAUAUGAUGUUAAAACCUUCUUGUUCAUUGGAUCUAUUUCACCUCUAAAGCUAAUCCUUCAGCAUCAAACUGCCACUAGUUUACCAAAUCAGAUUCUCAUUUGAUUUAUGAAAAGGAAUUACUGGGUAAGAUGCAACGCCCCAGGUCAAGGACUCAUACAAGGAUUGAAAACUUGAUGGCUCUAGCAGUCUUCUGCAUCUCCUGUGACGUGACAAUGACGUAUUUGUUUGUCUUAAAUGGCUUUUAAGAGUGAAAACUAUCUCCACAAAUCAAUAUAGAUCCUUUCAACAUGUUUUGUCCCCACUCACAUGCCUAGAAUUGUACUAAACUAAGUUUAACUUUAGAGUUCUUAUGAAUGAGUCACCGAAAAGAUAGGCAAACCUUGUUGGUUUAGGUAAUAACUUUGAAUUCUUUAAAGUCUUUCUUAACCAUAUUUUCAUAUCCUAUAUCCCUCUCAUUUGUGAUCUUAGUUCGUGUGUGUACCUCUCCUAAAUUCGGUGUUAUAUACGAUCAUUGUCAAUCAGGACCUUCAUUAUCCAAAAGUUUGUAGUUUACUUUUCUUGGAGUCGACUCAUGGACUUUCUGUCUGGCCUACUCUAACAUCAUGUAUUUCUUCCAACUUUCUGAGGUGGAAAGUUGACAGCCGUUGGGAGGGUGAUUUAGGGAUAAGAUUUGAUAACCACGAAGAAUAUUCAAAAGGAUCUGGUAAUCCUAUUGUAAGAUUCUCAAUCAUGAACUCAUCCACACCAACAAAGAAAGGAAGCAAGCAAUCCCUCCCUAAUCAAACACAACUUUGCGCCAUCCAGUAGAAAUUUAGAUCAUGAUAUUGGAAUUGGACUUUACAUAACAAUGCCAAGGACAUCUAAAGAUUCAAAUGAAUGAAUUAUCCAAUCCAUUCUGGUACUUGACACGGUAAGGUCAUACGGAUUUUGUAAAUGCUUCAAUAAUUAGAAAUUAUAAGUUGGAGUUAGUAGAUUAUACUAAAAAAGUUCACAAAGUUCGCAUGGAAUGAUAACGAUAUCAUUGAAUAGGCAUUGCCAAGAUGCCAACCUGGCUGACUGGACACUGUCCUAUCUCUGAAAAAAAGAUAAACUGAUAGUUAAGAUAUUUCCUCACCUAGUUCGUCGAAGUUUCUACUUCUAAUAAAACCACGUAAUGGACACUGCGUUCGGAAAAGUCCACAUAGUACCAGAGACGUGUGGACACCAGCAUUUAUUACAUGUCCUGGAAGCAUAAAUUCUUGAAGAAGCAUAUGAAAGUUCAUUAUCAAAGCAUCUAGUAUCCGAGUUUGAAGUGUUGCAAAAGUGAAGGGUCAUUAAACUGAUAGAAAGAACAAAAUUUCACACUGAGGCGUCAAACUCUAGCAAAAAGUUUAGAUAUACAAUAAUGAGUACUAUACUAUUCAUGACUCUUCAUUGAGAUACUGUCUGCAGAUGCAUAAUUUAGUUUAAAGCAAGAAGAAAAUGAAAAGUUAGGUCACUGUUUUCUUCAAAUUAAGGGACCCUUGAGUCAACCAAAUGAACCCACAGAGGCUGGUUGGCUAGUUGGCAAAGAGGAUAAAGAAAAACAAAAACAAACCCAAAAAAGCAAGCAACUUAAAGAAGCAGGCCAAGUUCAGUGCUUAAUCAAGUAAUCUAAAAAUGGAACUUAAAUUUUUUCUUUAAUUGAAAACAUACUACAUGUUGAUAAGAACAUGCCCAACAUCAAUUAAUUUAGUGCUUUAUUUGAUUAAAAACUCAAGGAUUCACAAGUUGUCCUUUCUUUUCCUUUUUCUCUCUUUUUUUUUUCCCUAUUUUUCCUAAACACAUACACAUUUGUGCAAGCAAAUGGUAGGGUAUUAUGUUUUGCACUAAACAAGGCAAACCAUGUGAAAUAUUGCCAAUUUCUUCACCUGCUAUGUUUUCAUUCCUUCUUCUUACUUUUCUACUUAUCCAUAAUUGACAAAAAUUCUACACACACACACACACAUAUAUAUAUGAGCACAAACCCACAUACAACACUCACUCACUCAACUCAAAGUACCAUAACAAGUCCUUUCAAAUCCAGUUCAAAAGGCAAUUCAAAACAGGGGAUCUUUCUUUGUUGUAAAGCAUAGAGAUAUGGGAAUUCAUUUGACAGGAAUAGCAAAUGCAAAGCAAAAGUUACAAAGAACAUUCUCAGGGAAAUACGGGAUUGGAUCGGCGGUGACGACGAAUAAUGUUCCUAAAGGACAUUUUGCAGUUUAUGUAGGAGAAACACAGAAGAAGAGGUUUGUAGUUCCAAUAUGGUACCUGAAUCAUCCAUUGUUUAAGGAUUUGUUAAACCUUGCGGAAGAGGAAUUUGGAUUCGAUCAUCCAAUGGGUGGACUUACGAUUCCUUGCACCGAAGAUUACUUCAUCAGCUUAACUUCAGCCCUGAAUUGUUCAUAAACCCAUUUGGAAUUUCCAUUUUUCUUCUUCUUCUUCUUCUUCUUCAUCAUUUGCCCUAAUUUUAACAUUUUCUUGCUUCCAUUUUUUUUUUCUUGUUAGAGAAUUUGAAAUCAAGAGAUUCAAACUAAAGUUUGUCUCUGUGAAUUUUGUAUCAUUAUUGAUUGUUCUUCCUAAUCAUUACUAUUACUAUUAUUAUUAUUAUUACCCCUUUAAACUCAGUGAUUCCAAAUUCUAAUUUCCACCCCUUUUCUUUCUUCAUAUCUUAAAAUUAAGAUUAAUUCAAUUGCAUAGUGAGAAUGAAUCAUUGAUAUUUUCACAAAUCUCCAUCUAAUUAACUCUAUCUAUCUUUUGUUAAUUAGUGUGGUUAACUGCAAGAAUAAGUUCACCUCAAAUCAUUUAGCUACCUACACUCAAAGCUUUGGAUACUCAAAUGUGUAGCAUAAAUACCAUCCUUUGUCAAUGGAUUCUUCAUAUGAUUUGUUAUUAAAAAAUGCAUAGAAAAUAUUUACAAACACAAUCAAUCAAUAUUUUAAAUUACAACAUCGCAUUAAGUUUAAAUUUAAAUUUUUUAUUCAAAAUAAAAAUAUUUUAGCUUGUAUCAAAUAUUUAUUAUAGGAUGGAAGGAGAGGUUUCAUCCCAACUCCAACUCCAACUCCAUAAUGAUGAGAAAAAAAUUAAACUAAAUUGAUUUGUUUAACCUAAUAAUUUAUAUUCAAAUUAACAAUUUAAUUUAAAUGAAAAAAAUAAUGUAAGAAAAAUAAAUUUAUGUGAAAAUUAAAAAAGAAAAGAAAAAGUAGAGUUUCUAAAAUUAUGUUGUAAGAAAAUGUUGAGAGUGGAGAAAGCUAAAAAGCAUUACUUUAAAUCCAAUUUGGUUAAAACUUAAUUUUAAGAAUAGGUUUGAAGAAAAGCAAAGAAAUAUUUUCCCGAAAGAUUCCAAAAUAAUUUGUGAAAUGUCACUAUUUUUCAUGUGUUUUUGGAAUUAUUAAGUGAUAUUGAAAUGAUAGCGAUGGGAAAUAAUUGUAUUUAAUUAUUACUUCAAAAAGCCUUCUUCUUUUUCUUUUUCUCUAUUAAAUUUUUCUCCAAGGUUAAUUUUUUUUCAAUUAUAUGAGUUGAUAUUGACCUUAUUUUAUGCCAAUACAUUGAAUCUUACAAUUUACUUAGAUACAUUUGAAUAUUUGAAAUUUAGUGUAAAUUAUUUUUUAGCUAUUAUUAACUCAUUGCUCAUUAAUGUACUUCAUAUCUUGAGGAAUUUUUAAAAAUAAUAAAAUUUACCAAAUAUUUACAACCUAUAGCAAAUUCUAUCCGUGGUAGUAAUUGAUAUACUAUAGUAAUAGAAUCCAAAAUUUUGCUAUAGUUUAUAAAUAUUUUAAUUUAUUUUGCUAUUUCAAAAAAUGUUCCAAAGAUAAACAAAUAAAUCAUAACUAAGUUCAAUUACCUUAUUCUUUAUAUGAAAUGGAGAAAGAGUCAUAUUUCUAAUUCACCUAUAGAUCAAAAACUUAAGUUAGUAAGUAAAAACAAACUUCAUAUGUAUCUAAUACUCUCCCACUCGUGGAAAGAUGAAAAAGAUACGAUAGUAUGUAAGUUUGGAGCACUAGACCUUAUGAUUGUUCGGCGAUUUUACUUUAAUAACAAUUUAAAUCAUAAAUUUAAUAUUAUAUCAAAACUUCAACAUUUUUACAACAAUAACUUCACUGAAAAAACGUAAGAAUAGGUAGAAGCUCGGUUUCAUUCCAGUUUUAAGAGUUAAUGUUGAAUUUUGCUUAAUGAAAAGAUAAUCAAACAAAAAAAGAAGUUUUUUUCUUUUUUGCUUUUUAUUUUGAAGAUAUAUAUAUAUAUAUAUAUAUAUAUAUAUAUAUAUAUAUAUAUAUAUAUAUAUAUGUAUCUAAUAAUUUAAAUUAGGGUUGAAAGGAGAGACAAUGACAAGACCAGAAAGCCAUGAUUUUGAAAAGAUUAAGGAAAAUUACAAAGUGUGUUUAGUCAAAAUCAUAUACUUUAUGUUAAACCAACCCACUGCAUAUAAUUAUAAUUAUAUGUUACUUUCCAAUUUCAAUCACAAUCCAAAAACACCACUCAACUCAAUCUUAUGAAUCUCUUUUUCCCUAACUAAAACAAUACAAAAUUAAAUAUACACUCUUUUUUAGAAUGAGAUCACAAUGUACAACAUGUCAACUUCAGCAACUCUUUAUUUUUGCAACAAGAUAAGACCAUUGUGAACGCACAUUUUAUCUAAUAUUAAGUGUGUAUUGAACUUUAGUGAUAACUCGUUCCUAUCGUUUUGAAGAUAGGACGACAAUCUCUUUUUUUAGUUCAAUACAUGUAAGGUGGCCUACGGCAUUUAAAAUAAAAUAAGAUCCAUAUUGGAUAUAGAUCAAAUGCGUGCAUCAAAAUAUGCUAUUUCAUGUAAAGUUCAAAAAUCUUAUAAGAUAGGGAAAAUGUGGAUAUGGCUUAACCGAAGAAAAAGUGUAAACCUCUUUUAUAAACGUGUCGAUGAAGUGGGUAGAGAUCGCAGUCAUUAUCGUAAUGUUGUUAUGUAGGAAACAUUUUUAUGAAUAUUUAAAUUCUAUCCAAAUAAGUUUUUAUUUGUCUUUGACUUUCUUUUGUUAUGUAUUUUACUAUGUUAAUAGAACGAUCACUUACCUUGAUAUAGUAAAUUACGAAGACUUUAGUGUUAAAUCAUUUUCUUCGAAUUGCUCUUCCAAGAUUAACAAAACAUCAUUUUUAGAUCAUAAGUACACUCAUAAAAAAAGAAAGAUUGGAAUCAAUUUUUUUACCCAAUCGCUAGAGAAAUGGAAAAAUAGACAACAGGCAAAUAUGAAAAUAAUGCUCGUUUUUUAAGAACCCAAACAAACCAUUUUAUAAAAAACCUCAAAAGAUCAAAAUGUUUUCGAGAUCUACCUUAAAUAAAUGAGUUCUUGCAAAAAUAGCAAAAAAAUUAUGAUAAUAGAACUCAUAUCACUACAUUUUUUUUAAUUGUAAAAGUAGGCAAAUUUAAAAGUCAAUAAUUUUUUGCUCACCCUCCAAUAAUCAUCUGAUAGUUGACUGAUAUCAUUAAUUAUUUGUCAUAUUUUUCAUAUUCGCAAUAUAUGCAAAAAAAAAAAAUGUCAUGGAUUGUUUUUUUCUAAAUGGUUUUAUCAUGUAAUACAAUUUCCCUUGAACAAAAAAAACAAAAAACAAAAAUGUUUUAGGAAUUAGACAAAAAAAAAAAAGUAUAUGGUGGUGAAAUAGUUGUUAGAAAUGACUAUCAUCCUAAUGAAUCAUGGUUAAUGUUUAAAAAAAUAUAUGAAAAAUUAUUAUUAUUAUUUGAUGGUUACAAAUAUUGUAACUAUUUAAUGGUAAUAAUGUUUUGUUUUAAUUCACUAACAAAUCUAAAAUUAAAUUUAGAUCUAAACCCUCGUUUUUCUUUUUCUAUAUAAAGAUCUCGAUGUUGGGGGUUCUUCAUCUUCCCUUUCAAACUUUUGAUUUUUUCUCAUAACAAUAGUUUUCUUGACUUCAUUCCUUAUUUCGACGACUGCAUGCUUGAGUUGAAAAGUUGUGUUAACCUUGGAAAGCAACCGAUAUAUGUGAUUUAGCACCGAUAUCACAAUAAAUUUUGCUUUUAUGGCAGUGAUUCGUCGUGACACAACAACAAUUAACAUUUGUUUCCUACAAUAGUCAACUACAUUAUAACGCUUCGAGUUUAGGAAGGGGACAUGAAUGAACAAGUAUUACAUAUGAAUAAGAGGGAUCGUGAGGACAUGAAAUGAGUACAAGAAAGUAAUGUUAAGAAAGACUUAAAAAGAAUUAAAAGUUACUACCUAUACCAACAAGGUACAUAUUUCUAUUCGGUAGCUCAAUCAUAAGAACUACAAAGUUAAGCGUGCUAUGCUUGGAGCAAUUUUAUGUUGGAUGACCAUCUUGGAGAUUUUUCUAGAAUGUAUGUGAGUGAGGACAAAGCAUGCUAAAAUAACUCAUGUUAGUUUGUGGGGAGAACUUUAAAGAUGAUGUUGUCAGGUCGUAAGGGAAUGCCGGGGAUCCAAAUCCUGGGCUUGAAGCGUUACCUUCACCUACAAGCUUAAGCUUUUGGGUUGAAUUGGUAAUUUAAGAUGGUAUUAGAGCACCCUAUGUUAUUGUUUUUUCUUCAAUUAAUACUAAUUUCCACUUGUUGGAUCUUUCUUCAAUCAAAGAGACACACGUGAAAGAAUGGUAGAUAUAUAAUAUUAAAUUCACCUUCGCCUUCUAGCUUAAGUAUUAGUGUUGAAUUGAUAAUGUAAUAAUAAAGACGUGUUGAGGCUUUAAUGGAAGGGACCAUCGUAAGCUGUUGUCUAGCAAGAAGAAGAAGAAGAAGAAGAAGGGCGUGGCAAUAUGUAUAUCGUACUGCCAUUGACAAAAUAAAUUCCCACGGUUUUGUGUAGAAACAUGAUAGCCAUAAUUAUCAUAGGGUCGUUUAUUCUCUUUUGCUUACUUCCAAUUAUUUCUUUUAGUAGUCAGAUGCCAAUUAGUGCAUCCAUUACUUUUAUCAACUAGUUUACUGUAUCUUAACUCUUACAAAUAAGUAAAUAUUGAAUAUGAUCUAUUGAUAACGAAAUAAGAUCACAAACAAAACUUAUAAUGGAUCUUCUAAACUAAUUGGUUUGUUACUUACGUUGAUUAGGAUGAUUCUAUUAUUGAAAAUAUGGAGUAGAAAUUCAUAAUAUUUUUAAAGAUGAUUUCUCCUUCAUGGUUAACUAAUGUUUAAUAUGAUAUAUCAAAGAACAUAGCUGAAUGAGAUCUUCUAUCUAAAAAGAGAUACAAUUAAAGAGAAGAGGGAAGAGGGAAGAGGGAAGAUGGAAGAUGGGAGAGACACCAGUCCGACAUAAUUAAUCUCUCCUCUCCAGAUUGCAUCCAUUCAAAUACACAUCUUGUUUCAGUAUCAUUGUACCGUCUUCAUGGAGUCCCUCCCAUCCCUCUCUUAAUCACUUAUUUAUAUUUUUUCACUAUAAGUCUAUGCAUAUCUAUGGUAUCAUAUCAAAAAGAAUUUAUGAUAUGAAAUGGCCAAAAAGUAAGCCAUUAAAAAUAUACAAAGUAUUAAAAUGGUACUUAAUCACGUUAUUCUUUUUUGUCGUUAACAUAUAAAACUAUAUAUGCUCACCUUAGCCAUUAAAGAAAUUUCCUAUUAAUUAGCGAGAGACAAAUAGUUAACUAAGUGAACUUUAUCAAAUAAAAGACAUAUUAUAUGUUAAAAUACCAUAUUAAACUUUGCAUGUCCAUCAUAAUAAUAUAAUUAAUAAAGAUCACUAACAUUUAUAUCACUAUCCCCCUUGAGAUAUAUAUAUAUAUAUCUUUUAGGAAAAAGAUGUCAAUUAUGAUGAGUGUGAAGCUAUAUUUAAUAAUGUAUGAGUUGAGAUAUAGAAAGUCAAAUUUCAAGUGGUGUGUGUCAUGGUGGAAGCAGAGAAAAUGGAAGAUCUUAAUUACUAUCUCAAAUUUUGAUUAAAGUCUUUACUUAAUGGUGUUUCCAUCAUGGUAGGACCUAAGAUAUCCCAAAUAAUGAAGUUUUUAAGUCUUUUGACUUUGUACUUCUUUUUUUAAAAAAGAAAUUCUCAACUCUUUAAAACCUAGCUAAGGUAGAAGGUGGGAUGUCUAGUGGUAAAGAAGGGAACUUGCAAAAACCCUAAUUUGCACAUGGUAUUGUGUGGUUGUGCACUUAUAUAUGUCCAAUGAAUAUGGAAUGCCCUAUAUUUUCUCUUCUAAAUUAUUUCAAGUGGAAGAUAUAUAUAUACACACAUAAUUGAGCAUCUUGUGUGGAAGGAUUUAUCAACUUUUCUUUUUUGUUAUGUCUGUGUUUCAAGUAUUGAAAAAUAAAAUUAAUAUAUUUAUAAAUAUAACAAAAUAUCAACAUCUCUGUUAGUUAUUUAUAUCGAUAUUUAUUAUCUAUUAUCUAUGAAUUGGUAGUAAUAAUUCGUCACUAACCUCAAAGUGGCUCUAUUUCAUUAUAUUCCAUCCAUAUCCCAAUUCCAUUCAGUUAAUAUCCCUGUGGUGUCAUUGAGAUAAGAGAUGUCGUUUCUAGUCUAUCUGUUUCUCUAGUCUAUCUGUUUCUAUUUCUAUAUAUAUGGAAAGUUAAAAAAUCAUCAUAUAAUAAUAUAAUAAUCUAGAAAUUGCAAUAGAAAAGAAAAAAAAUUGCAAUAGAAAAGAAAAAUUAUGAUAUUUUUUAUAUUUAUAAAUAUUUUAAACAGUUUUAUUAUUUAAAAUAAUUAUUUAUAAAUUGAAUGAAUCAAAUAUCUUUUAUCUUUUUAUAUUUUUAAUAAUAGUUAGACACCAAAUAUACAUACAUCACAAUAAUUAAAAUAGCAGAAGAUAUCUAAUGGUGAAGUUUUUUUUCUUUUAAUGAUUUAUUUGUAUGUAUGUAUAAUGAGCUAAGUAAACACUAUUUAACAUAAAAACUCUCAAUUUGCUAUAUUUGUUACAUUAUUUAUUAUUUGCUAUUUGAUAUACAUCAUUUUUUAUUUUUUCAUUCUUUGCUAUUGUGUUUACUAUUUUCUUAUCAAACUAAAAUAGUCUAGACAUCAAAUACAUAUUAUUAUAAACUAAACUAAAAUAAUAUAUGCUUAAAACAUAAAUUAUUUUAAUAAAACCAUGAUAAGUUAAGACUAUAACAACUCACCUCUUAUCCCAAACAUUGGUUUAAUUAAAAGGGACCGUCGGCUAUUACAUUGGUACGAUUAUACAACUUUCCAUUAAUGCAAUUCACACAUUCUAUUUCACUGUAGCAGAUGAAGACGAAUCGCAUUCAUUCUACCACACCCUGUUUUUGUACCAUUUGCUCCCUCUCCUUCAAUUAUUUUCUACCAUCAUGUCUUGACCAAAAGAUAGAGAAAUCCAAAAGGGAUGGAAGAGAGAUUUUUCUUUUGGAAGAAAUAAAUAGAUAUGAAAGUAUUUUUUGAGUUUUUGUAAAAUAUUAGAAGUAUAAUUAUCUCACAAACGAAAUAUGAAAAGUAACAUUAGAUUUUGAGUACUUUAAAAGAAGUCUUUGUAAAUGGUUUCUAAUCAUAUAGUAGCUUAGUCGCGUGGACGAUGAUACUAUUCAUAACUAAGGAACCAAUCGAAACUAAAUGAGUUUAUAUAUACAUUAUUUUGGAUGAAAUGGAAAAUAUAUUCAUAAUUAGUAUGGAUAGUUAGUUGUAAUUAUACUCUUAAAUUUUCAUCGAUAAAAGUUAAAUUUAAUAAUAAUAGAAAUGAAAGAUAAAAGUUAAAUUUAAUAAUAAUAGAAAUGGAAAGUUUGUAGGUGGAAAUUCCAAUUACCACAUUUUUCAAAUUACUCCAUUAUUAUUAUUAUUAUUAUAGUUAUUGUUGUUAUUAUUAUUAUUAUUGGACAACAAUUGCAAAAACUACCUUUAAAUUAUAGUGAUAGUUACCAUUACAUUUUCAAAUUUUCAAUAAUAACAAUUGGCUGCUAAACUUACAAAAAUGUUAAAGUUUGACCCUCAAACUUACAAUAAUUAUGGAAGUUGAACUCACAAAUGGUCGAAAUUAAAAUUUCAAACUUAAAGAAACAAUUAUGUAAGUUUGAAUGUCAAAGGUUUUAGGAGCUCUUUGCACCUAUUAGAGAGGAGUGAAGUAGAUUAUUUUAGCCAAUUUCAUGUUUAGUCCUACUUGUUCUCACUCUUCCUUUUUCACAUCUUUUCUUUCACUAAGUUCUAAUUGUUUAUUAAGUAAAAGUAGAAGGUCAAGUCAAAGUGUAAAUUCUAAUAAUAAUCACCACAUGAGAAAAUUAAACAAAAUCAAUGCAUACUAUUAUAAUCUUCAAACUAUUAUAAUUCUCACACACUCUUAUAAGUCACUCAUCAUUUCAAACGCUCGCUUAAAGUUUUGAAAAGUUGUAAGUGUCGAAUUUUAAUUUUAAAAGUUAAGAGUAAUAAUUACAAUUACCAACCUGAUUUGAAGAGUGAUUUUUAGAAUCCUUAGGUCAUUAUCCAAAAUUAGGUUGGGAGAGGGGUGUGGUGAACGGGGAACCAAAACGAAGGUGAACUGCCGUGUAAGGCGGAGGGGUUGUGGAAGGUUUAAUGGAAAAGGGGCCGUGAGCAGGGUGUCGCCUCACGAGCAUCUAUGUACGGAAGUGUUGGACGAUAGUUUUGAAUUAAAUAGAAAGAAGAAGAGUAUGUGGCUAUUGAGAUUUCAGGAUUUAGGGUUUACUGAAAUAGAGACAAAAUCCCCCAUGUUCCGUGCAGGCUGCGGCAAACAAUCAUUUAUUAUUAUUAUUGCCAAUCAAUUUACGUCUUGAUCUUUUUCUUCUUUUUCCAACUUCCAAUAACUUCCCCUCUUCUACUGCUAGAAUAUGCUCAGUACACUUCUUCACAUUCAUUUUUCUUUUAUGUACCAUACAUACUAAUUCACUUCUUCCCCCUCUCCCACAAUUAUUUCUUUCCCACCUAAGCUCACGCGCAUCUCCAUUCCAUGUCUCAACUCUUAUUAAUAUCCCACAAACCAGAAAAAAAAAUCUCGAAAUGUGUAAGUGAAAGAUGAUAUAAUACAUCUUUGACAUCUAUCUUGUUUCUCACGCAUCCCUCACCCAUUUACACUAAUAUUUUCUCUAAUUCACUCUCAUAUCCACUCAUGCAAACACCAUUGAUAGGGAGACACAUCAAGGUGCUUCCAGACCAAAUAUAAAUUUCACACUGUGAAUUGUAAACAUCUCAUGUUUCACUACAACAAAAGUGGCCUAUUAUCACAUUUGUAUACAUCUCAAAUUGAAAUGAGGGAAGAAAAAACUGUCAUAAAUUUAGUAUGAAUUUAGAUUAUCUAUCAAAUGGUAUAAAAAUUUAAUGGAUUUUACAAUUUUUUUCCAAAAUUAAAAAGAAAAAAAAAUAGAAGAAAGAAAGAGUUUUAUGUGUUUAAAUUUGUAGUUGUCUAGAAUUUUAAGUUCACAUCUAUUUCAUUUAUGAAAAUUAAUUAAAUUUAAAAUUUUAGUUAUGAAUGUUUGCCAUCUAUUAUUUAUUCCUAAAACUUUGGAAGUAUAUAUUGAUUUGUUCUAAAAUUCCAAUUUUGCAUUCAAAUGUCUCAUACAAUUUGGUAAAAAAUAAUAAAAUAGCAAAAUAUGUUUUUAAAAAUAUAAAUAGUUUAUUUUUUAUUAUUUUAAAAAUAUGUUUAUUUAAUGAUUUCAUAUGAAAAUUUUGUUUGAAAAUAUUUACAAACACAUAAAAUUUCAGAAUCUCAAUAUUAAUAAAUAAAUUUUAAAAUCUUAUUUGAUUUGGUAAGUAUUUUAAUGAACUUAUUUCUCAAACUCUUUUAAAAUAGAAAAAGUAAAAUUAAAAUGGGUUCCAAAGAAAUGAUUGGCAAUUUGUUUGGGUGUUAGAAGGUGGAAAACAGAAGCGCCGCGUACGGCGGAGAUUGUCGGAGGUUUAAUGGAAAGGGGCCGCCGCAAGCUGUCGACGCGGAAGCAGUAGGGUAAGUAGAAAAGUUGAAAUACAAAGUAUACAAUAUGUGAUUUAAAUCCAAAAGCAAAGAAGAAGGUCUGUAUCUGUACUGCGUGUGAUGUUCCUCCUACUUACGCUUUAGGGUUUAUGGAAGAGACAAACAAAUUUUCCACAAGUACAAUUUCAUUAUUAUUCCUCCUGCAUAUACCUCAUACGCAACUAUAUAUACACUACUAUCAUCGCUAUCGAUCAUAAUUUCUUUUAAAAUAUUUUCAAGAAUUUUGAACUCACUUUUAGUUCUGACAUGAAUGCUUAUUAGCUAAUUUAAAGGAAAAUCAAUCCUCAUUUCUUGAAAUUUCAUUCACUUUUAGUAUUUCAUUAAUGAUUGGGAUUUGAAAUUUCCGAUCUCACAUUUCUUGUUUCGUUGUAGUAUAUAAGACGAAUUGCAUUCAUUCCACACCUCUGUUUUUGUACGAUUCUUUUGUACCUUCUCCCCCAUUUUUAUUUUCUUUCUCACCUAACUAUUUUUACUUGUGGGAUUUAAAAUAUGGAUAUGGAAAUCUUAUUAUAGGAAUAAAGAAAUAACAUUUUAGAGGAUGUCAAACAUAAAAUUAAUGUUCAGCUUGCUUUCAUGCAUCUUAAUUAAAUCACUAAUGAAUCCAAAUAUUGACUAAUACGACUCGUCUCUCUCACCAAAAUGUUGAAAUUCAAAGGGUAAAAUUAACCUAAAGACAUCAAUAAAACAUAGUUAGAAAUUAAAUGUUUAGAGAGUUUUUGUUUAAUUUAACUUAAAAUUUAUGUAAACUAGGUUAACUUUUAUAAAUGAUGGUUAAAAGUCCAUAAAAUUUAUAUGGAUUCUUCAUACAUGGAUUUGAUUUUCUCUACCAUGGCGCGGUCCAAGAAGGAAGAAGAAGGAGUGAGAAGCAUGGAUUAAUAUUUUUUCUUUUGUUAUUGUAAAAUUGAUUAAUAAUCAAUCUCAACCUGUCCAUGAAUAAAAAAAGAGUUAAUAGAAACUUUAGGUUUCUCUUUCCUUAUCAUCGUUUUUCUUUUCUUUUCUUCUUUCUUUUCCUCUUCUACCAUAUUUUUCCUUUCCAUCGUCUUUUUCUCUUCUUCUGCCAUUUUUUAAAAAUAUUUUCAUUUGUCUUUCUUUUCAUAUUCUAUGUUCGGCAAUUUUUUUUCUUUUCUUUUUUGUCAUUUUCUUCUUUCUUCGAUAAUUUUUUAUAUUUUUUUCAAACUAUUAUUUAGUUCAAGAUUGUGUGUCAAAUAUAAAAUAUCAUGAAAAAAAUCGUUGAGAUAUUAUGAUUUUCAAAUGUAAAUGAUCGUGUAUAAAAAUAGCAAAAUCUAAACGAUCGUGUUCUAAAUAUAAACGAUUGCGUAUCAAAUCUAAACGAUCGGGUAAAAAAAUAUCUAUUAAAAAAAUUGUUGAGAUUUGGCUACUCUAAUUUAAAUGAUCAAAUCUAAACAUAUAUUAUAUUCUUGAUCGUUCAAUGUAGGAUUUGAAGAUGACCAUGCUCUGAAUAUUUGUACAAUUUGGUAGAGAAUGGGAUCAUUCUUUCAAAAGAUAUGAGGGGUCAAACAAAUGGAUUGAAGUUUAGAAAUGAUAUUACAUAUAUAUAUCAAACUUGUUAGUUAUUAUGUUUGACAUAGACUCAAGUACUCUUAUGAGCUCAAUGGUUCCAGUCUCUCCAACCCAUAUAAUUGACGAUGACAAUCUCCAAUCUUUUUAGAAGGCAAUGAAGCAACUAGAAUGUCAUUGUACAUAUCAACGAUAGUUAAAUGGAUUGAUAGGGUUGAUACAAAUCAUAUAUAUGAGGAGUACAAUCGAACGUAGUUUAUUCCAAGUCAAGAGAUUUUUUAUUCUAACUUAAGAGAUUGUUUAAUAUGGGUCAAGAAAUCGUGUUUCUACGUUCAUAUGAUCGGUAUUCUAGGUUAAGAUGAACAACGUUAAAGUAAGUGGAACCAAGAGACAAUGAAAGUACCUUCAAAGAUUCUUCUUGCUAAUGGAGGGAAUAAGAAAAGUGAAGAAGAGCGAUGAGUGUUGAGAGCAUUGAGAGCGACAAGAGAACGUGAAUGAGAAGAAAACUAAGCGAAUGAGAGGAACAAUUAAUUGAGAUUCAACUUUAUUUAUAUCACAGGGGUAAAAUUGACCUUUCACACGAUAUUUAGUUUGUCAACAUGUUUUAAUAAACGAAGGUUCCACACGAUCGGUGAAUUAUUUAUAAAUGAUGGCACACUUACUUUUAAGUGAUCAUGUAAAUUAUGACUAUGCAAUCCACACACAAAAACAUAACCAAUCAUAUAAUAAAUGUUAAACGAUCGCUUAUUAAACCUAAACAAUCGUGUAAUCCGAAAGCCAUUAUUAAAAAUGUUCAAUUGUAAUAAUAUGCAUUAAAGCUUUAAAGGUUAGUUCUAAUAAAGUUUUUACAAAUAGGUCAUAGUUUUUACUUUUAAGGUUAUGGAAUUUUCAGCAAAGAAAAGUAGUGAAGACUAGGAAUCUAGGAGAAUUUUUAGAGUAGAAAUAUUAUUAUACAAUUUGUUGAUGAUACGUAACGGCACAUUUAAUUAGUAGAGUUUUAAUACACAAGUGAAGGUAAAAAUAGAGUUAACCCAGAAAGUAACUAUUUACUAAAACUAACCUCAUUCUUUUUCACUUCUUAUUAUAUAUAUAUAUAGACAUAGCCUUGUCUAUAUAUAUUAGUAUUAAACCUUUUGGGUAAGACAAAAUAAUGAAUUGUGCAUACUUGAAUUUAACGUGAGUAUGUAAACUUAAUUCAAAUUCAACGGUAUUUGACAUGAUUUUUCUAAAGGUCGAAAUUUAAACUUCCACAACUCCAACAUCUUUUUACUAUAAAAAGAAGUGAAAAAUAUAUCAUAGUAAACAUAUACAAUAGUUGACUUUAUCGAGUAUAUACGAUAAGAUUCUUGCAAUAUCCUUAUUGUAGAUCUUGUAGAAAAAAGAAAGUCGAAAAAUAGUGGAUAUCUAAAUGUGAAGGUUGUGACAAGUCAAAUUAUAUAGUAAGGUCCUCCUUCCACCUAGAAAUGCUCUCCUAAAGUGGUGGGGGAAGAAAUAAUGGAAUAAACCUACAACUCAGUCCUCUAAAAUGAGUGAAUCCUGUUGGAAUAAUACUACUUGAUCCACAUUCCUAGAGUGGUGGAAAAGAAUGUAGGAGCUACCUCUCUCAAAAGAAGAUCAUCAAAUUAAAAGGCCUUUUUUCUUUGGUUGACAUUGAAUUUUUUACAAUAUAUUUUCAAAUCUUCGAAACCUAAAGUUGGAAGGGAUAAUAACUAAAUAGUGACAUGUAUUGAGUGGUGCACUAGCUACAUAGUUCAUGUGUGUCAAUGAGUAUACUUUUUCUUCUUAUUUUUCAACUUACAAGUGGAAGAUAGGUAAGCAUAAAGUAUAUUUUGUAUAUGGAGCUAAGAGUUGUAUUUUAUAUAUGUUUUCAACUUUUUUGAUGAUGAGGAUUGCAGUGAUGUACAAGAUUAUGGCAUUGGUACAUACUUUAUUUUCGAUUAUAAUUUUAAGAGCAUGGAGAAAUAUUUACAAAAGUAGUAGCAAUCAGUUUUUAAUAAUUUGUUUCCUUUAAUAAUACAUAAACAAAUAUGGUGAAUGGGGGCAAUAUUAAAAUAAUUAAAGACAAAGAUAAAAAGAUUCAUAAGAUAAAAAGAUGAUCAAGAUAAUGUUUCAAGAAAAGAUUAAAAAAGUGAAAAAAAUAAUGUGAGUGUCUUGCUUUUUUUCAUCUCUUCCAACACUAUGGAAGCCAAAGGAGAUGAACUUGCAUGGAAAAAACCAGGGGAGUACCAUAGCGGUAUUUCACACUCACGUGGGUCCAUUCUCGUCCAUGUUGAAGCUUUGGAUAAUACCACUUUUUAGCUAAACCCCACAAUCCAAAACCUCCCUAGAGUUUUCCAUAUAAAUUCCCCGAUUCUGAGCUCAAAGAACCAUCCAAUUCUCAACCGCCGAAAAACAACAUUUCGUAUACAAGUUUUUAGCUAAAUGGGUAUUCGUCUGCCGGAGAUCAUUCUUCACGCCAAGCAAAUAACUCACCGUGCGGCGGCGCCGUCGCACCGGCAAGUUGGGUAUGAAGUUACGAAGCAUCGAUCGUCGUUUUCCGAUGUUCCGAAAGGCCAUUUUGUGGUCUAUGUUGGAGAGGAAGAAGAAGACAGGAAGCGAUUUGUUGUGCCAUUGUCGUACUUGAAGAAUCCCCUGUUUCAAGAACUGUUGAGUAAAGCUGCUGACGAGUUUGGAUUUGACAAUCACUUCGGUGGGAUUACGAUUCCUUGUGCUCAGGAUCAAUUUUUGGGUUUAACUUCUCGGUUGAAUAGACUCAUUAGUUGAAAUUGAUCAGAACUGAGAACCCAUUUGCCCGAAGCUUAAAAGAUGGUAUAGAACUCUGUAAAUUAAUCGAUGAUAUUCUUAUAUUAGAGGGGGUUUUUCAGAAAUGGGUUUCUCUUGCACUAUGGAGAGUUUAGCCACUGAUGUAUUUUCAUUCAUUUAUCUUCCUGUUUAAUACAAAAUCUGAAUCAUUGAAUCAUUGAAUCAUUGAAUCAUUGGAGUCCGUUUAUUUUCUUUAUGAAUCGUUGCUAUGCUUCAUUAAUGAUCACCAAACCAUCAGUCUCAUUUUAUUUAUCGUCAAACGCUUUGUUUGCAUCUCACACCGUUUGAUGUUUAGACAACUGAAUGAAUGGAAUAGCAAACUUCUGUUUCAUUAGGAUAAACCGUUUGGUUGUCUUCUUGGGUUGCCGAAUAUUUCUGGUGAAGUUUCACCCUCUAUGUAAAAUAAUCACUAGUUUCAAGAACUUGAGAUUGAGAUUAAACCUUGUGAAUUGUUUUAGAGACUGGAGAUGAUGGGUUCUUUCAUAUCAAAGAUUCUUCUGUAUGUAAAUGCUCUGUUCUUUGGUUUUGUUUAAAAAAAAAACUUUUUUUUUCUAGUCUUUGCUAAGAAAAAACUUAAGUUUCCGUUUGUUCUUGACAGAAUGGCUUUUGGGUAUGUCUAUCCUGCUUAUGAGUGCUUCAAGACUGUGGAGAGGAGGCCAUUAGAGAUAUUCCAACUUCUGUUUUGGUGCCAUUAUUGGUUUGUAAUGCCUGUUCUUAUGCUAUGAUCAUCUUGGCUUUUAAUUUGUUUCAAGUUAAUUACAGUGUCUAAACAUCUCAUUUUCUGUCUGUUCUGUAGGAUCAUUGUUGCUUUGCUUACAGUAUUUGAAAGAGUGGGAGACCCUUUGAUUUCAUGGUAAACAAAUGUCAUUUGUUAUCUGUAUUCUUCAGUGAGUUUCAUUUUUCUUUUCGAAUAAGAUUCAAAUAACUGAGGAUUAGGACUUGCUACUUGUAUUAUGCUCAUGGUUUGCCCUUCUAACUUGAAAAGGUUUUGCUAACUCAAGGCUAGAACAAAAUGCUUUUAAGUUUUCAAGACCUCUUUGAUAAUUAUUUGGAUUUUGAAACUUAGGUUUCUUUUGUAAUCUACUUCUUACAAGGGUUUUCAAAAUUCAAGCCAAGUUUUGAAAGCUAAAAAGAAGUUGUACUAUUUAAAAACUUGACUUGUUUUUUUGUUUUUUGGAAUUUGGCUAACAAAUCAAAUGUUUGCUUAAAAAGGAAAAUGAAACAAGCAAGCACAACGACUUAGUUUUCAACUUUGAGUUUUCCUGAAAAUGUGAGAAAAAAAUGUUAGAAAGAAAGGAACUCGAAUUUUUGAGGGAGGCGCCCUGAGGUUUUGUCCACCCAGCGAAAAAGUGAAGUUUCUAAAGUCGAGUGUGGUAACAAUUUUGUUUUUAGUUUUUAGCUUUUGAAAUUUUGGCUUGUUUUCUUCUAAAUUCGUUAAAUAGUUCUCAUAUAACUUACAGAAACAUUUGAAGUUUUAGUCAAAUUUUGAAAAUAAAACACUCUUGUUUUAGUUUAAAAGGUAUGACUUGGCUUUUUAAAAUUGUCGACAAAACAAUAAACAUAACUUUCAAAAUCUAAUAACCAAAAUACUUAUCAAACAGGUGCUAAAUUAUUAUGGUUGAACAGAAUUGUAUUUAUUCGAGUUUUAUCACGCCAACUAAAUUUGUGAAAUCAUUGUUUAUGAAGGCUGCCACUGUACAAUGAAGCAAAGCUAGCAUUCUUUAUAUAUCUUUGGCAUCCUAAAACAAAAGUGAGUGUUCAAUAUCUCUAGCUCAAAAAAACUUCUUUCUUAUUCACUCCAUCUCAAGUUUUGCCUCAAUGGAUAACUAACUGAAGUUUGUUUUCAGGGAGCAACAUAUAUGUUUGAUGUUGUUCUUCAGCCAUUUAUAUCGAAACAUGAAGCAAAAAUUGAUCGUUGCCUUGUUGAACUAAGGCUCAAGACAGCAGACAUUGCAGCCUUGUUUUGGCACAAAACUACUAGUUGCAGCCAGACAACAUUACUCGACUUGCUUCGUAAUGUUUCGUGGAUGCCCACAUCACAGACUUGUCAUAAUCAGGUACUUUUAAUGAGAAGAUUAUCAAUGUAUUUAUUUGAGAAACUUCUACAAAAAACUCUUUGAAAUUAAGAGGCCUUGUGUGGUGGUGGUGUGUUUGAUUUAGCAUUGGCACAAUCUCAAGAAGGAUGAAACGGAACUAGUGGGAAAGACAACAAAAUGUGUAUCAACUAUGGAAAAUAGAGUUGCUGCAGAUGAUUCCAAGAAGAAGGUAAGUUACGAUGAACAAUUGUCGAAAUCCAAACGUCGAAAAUGGCGAGUUUUUAACUUCAUUUGUGUCAAAUAAGUUUGAGGUUGCUGUAAUAUUUAACAUAUGAUAUGGAAAAGGGCAUUGUGAAGCUUGCUUUUAGGAAACAAUUUGUAAUUUUAGUGUGUUGUAUAUGAAUCUUCAUGUGAUAUAUAUCUCUUCUGUUUCAUGGGCAAUCUGAUUUAUAACAGUUCGAUUAUUGUUCUUUCUAAUUAUAAGGUGGUUGGAAUCUCAACGAUGUUGUGUGUUGUUACAAAUCUACAAAAUGUCUCUAUUCAUACAAAAUAUUCAGAUGUAUUCAUUUUUUAAAAAAUAAAAAUGAAAAAAAGCUAAGCUUUUCAUUUUGGAUUAUGUAUGUUAAAAAUAUCUAUAAACUUUAAAUAACUUUAAAUAAGUUGUUUGAAGACUACGUGGUGUUCAAAGAUUCAAAUUAUUGGGAGAAAUUGUACAAAUGUUCUCUUUUCUUCCUCAUCACUAGCUAGGUAUCAAAUCAUAAUAGUUGACAUAUAGUUUUGAUUCGACUAAGGUGGCAAAAAGGUAAGAUUAACUUGUUUGUUCUAAUCAGCCCUAGGAAGAACCAUGAUGAAUAUUAAUUUAGGUUGUUUUAAGCUUAAAUGAAAUAAAAUUAAAUUGACAAAUCUAUGAUCAAGUUAUAAUUGAGAAAACAAGAGCUCAAAAGCGUAAGUUAGACCAUUUAAUGAUCAUUCAUAUUCAAUUUCCAUUUAAUUUCUCUGCAAUUUAUUUUCUUGGCUUUAAAAUAUUUAACUGAAAAAUUCAUGUGCUCUGUGUAUUCAACUUGAUCUUACUACUAGGACUAAUUUGCAGUGGUGGAUAUAGUUAAAUUAUUUGAUUCAAAUUUAAACAACAAAAUCUGCUUGAUCAUCUUGGCUAUGAAAAUGAUCCUCCAAUGCUGUGAGAUCGUUUUCUAGUAUCAAAUAACCCUCUAAAAUCUGUUCACCAGACUCCUAAAAUACGAGCAUAAAUUUAUAAGGUGUCUGUGUGCCCCAAUGCAUUUUUCUGUCUUCUAGCCUUAGUUUUAGCUAAUAUUAUUGGCUUCUUUUCACCUUUAUUUUGCCUUUUCCUAAGAAGAAAAUACUUUUCAGGUGCUUUUCAAUUUAUCUUAGUGGAAGGUAAACUAUUAAUAAAGUUAGAAAUUACUAUUAGAAGUAACAAUUUAAUUAGCUUCUCAAAGUUUAAAAUUGUAACCAAAGAAAAAGGAAGAAAAUAAGUUAAUUGAUCCCAAGAUAAGAAAAUGAAAAAGGAUUGAAAAAGAUGAAGUUUGUUUGACAACAGAAAAGUUUGAUUUCUCUAUUUUUCAUAUUUGUAUUCUACGUAUCACAAAUAUUUGUAGAGAAUUAAGGUAAAAGAACUCUUGCCUACACUCGCACACAUCAAAAUAAUUUUUCAUGUAACACCACCUAUUUUUUAGACAAAUAUUUGGACCUUAAUAUAAUAGACCAAGAAAAAUAUAGGAAUGAAACAAAGCAAACAAAUAUUAAAUGAGCUUGAAUUAAUGGGUUAUCCUAUGAAACAUUGAAUGAAACUUGAAGCAUAUUGGCAUAGUGAGGGAGAAUCAAAUAUAUUUAUAAAUUAUCAUUAAACGAUCAUAUGACAAUAAUGGUCUAUUUAGUCAAAGGAGUGGAGUGAGCUAUUAUAAUCCACUUCAUGUUUGAUCCAUAAAUUUCCUUCAACUCCAAGAAUAACCCUAGUGAUCAUUGUUCCUCUCUUUUUUGUUUUGCAUGACUAUUGUUUCCUCCUCCCUCUCAACUCCACGAUGCACUGUUCUCCUCUCCCCAUUUGUCUUCCUUCUCCUAAAUGAUCUUUCGUCUCCCUUAUCUAUAAUGUCCUUUCGUCUCUCCUUGUCUUGAAACAGUGAUCUUUCCACUCUGAUCAUCGUUCUUCGCCGAAAAAUUUCUCAAAUUUGUUUAGGAGUUUAGUCGUUGCAUGUUCGAUCCCUUUUUCUCUUUCUGAUAUGUUAUUGUAGUACUGUGAGUUUAGUAUUGUUCUUAGUAUCACGAUUGGUUUCUAUGUUUUUUCUUAAUAUGUGACCAUUUGAGGCUGAUAUUUCUUUUGCUUUCUUAUGGGUGAUUCUUAGCUUCUAUUCUAAUAAUUUUUCUCCAUGUAUUCCAUGAGUUGUUUUCAAUCCAUCAUCGUAGUACUAAUUAUUUUGUGAACUUAUUAUCAUUGUCCUAAGGUUUAAUUACAAAUGAAAUGGAACUUUAUAUAUUUAUAUUUCACACUAAGCACAUGUUGAAGAAUUUAAUUUUGUAUUGUUUUCUUAUCAAUUUGUAGGAGAUGUAUCUCUAAUAUAAUUUCAAAAAGAUCACCUGAACAAAUGAGAAAAUUACUUUUAAAGAAAUUAUAGUUAAAUUUAUUAGAUGAACAACGCAAUUAACAAGAUUGAAUAAAAUAACUCUGAAAAAGAAUAGUGAAGAAAGAUAAGUUUUGAUAUAACUUAAAUUAUAAUAAUCAGCACUCCAAAUACAAAUUAUAGUAACCGCAACUAUAAUAAUACGUGUGUGAAAGACAGACAAUAAUAAUCUAAUUUAGGUUAAUAGGGAUGAAAUUAUAGGUUAAAUGGUAACAAAAUGAAAAGGAAAGAAAGAAAGAAAAAAAAGUGGAGUAUUGAGAAAUAAUGGUGUAGGAAAAUUGACACGUGGGAGGGGGUAGGUCACGUGUAGAAGGAAGAGUGAUACAAAGCGACAAACGUGACGAAAAAAAUUGAAGAUGGGAGAGGGGAUGGUCGAUGGUGUGCCUUGCCUCCGCCCCAACCCUCCCACCGCCCCACGUGUCUCCACCACAUACGUAUUAGUGGUUACAAACCCUCUACCCCUUUUUCUUUCUCUUUUUCUUUUUUCUUCAAACUUCUACCCUAAACUGCAUAAUCAACACCAAUCUUUAACAUUCAAAUUUUAAAUCUUACCAUAUAACUAUCACUCCAUCACCCCAACACUUUUAUUGCUAACACAAUUACCCUACCAAUCAUUUUACAUUCUAUUAUAAUUAAAAUAACAUUCAUAUUAUUAAAUCAUCAAUUUAUCCAAAUCCUUAAACAAGUGGUAGAAGACAAAUUUAUUUAUAUAUCAUCAAUACUCUCCUCACAUGUGGACUUGAAAUAUUUGAAAGGUCCAACAACUGAAAAUUAAUUUUAAUUGAGAUGAAAACGAUGAACACAUACCUAUGUGGACCACCUGCUCUAUUAUCGUAUUUAACAGAGUUUUCAAGAAACUUUCACUCAAUUUAUUUAUAAACAAGUGGAAGAAUUUAUACAAAUAUGCGCAUGUUAAUGUGCAUAACCAGAUCAUUCAUUUAAAUUCAAGCUACCUAAUAUAAAUACAAGAUUCCAAUGAAAAGUUAUUAAAAUGAUUAUAAACAUAUCAAAAUAUUGGUAGUAUAGAGAGUUAGAUUAUUACACGUGUAAUUGAGCAUACGACACACAAUAAUCUACUACAAGAAAACAUUAAAUUUUUUCUUUGGUUAUAUUUAUUUAGAAUAGUGUUUGGAAAAAGAGGUUAAUUUGCACUAUUAAUUUGUUAGAAGUAUUCAAUUAUCUUUCAAAAUUGAUGAACAGUUUAAUGUUAACUUGAGACAAAAUUCCAAUUUAAAAGAUGAAUUAGUGAAACCGAACUUGACUAAAAGAUAAUCCGACUAACCUUUUAUUAUUUAGAGAUUCAAAGUUUUAUCCAUUCCACAAUUUUACUUUAUAAGAAAAAUUCAAUGAACAAAUAGUUAUUUUAUUUGAAGUUUAAAGUAGAAAUGAUAUGGAUGGAGACACGUUGAUGGUCAUGGAUCAUCUCUAGUGCUGAACAAAAAGAAGAAGAAAAGAGAAAAAUUGGAAAGAAGAAGAAGAAGAAAGAAAGAAAGAAAGAAAAGUGUCUGAAUUUGGUGGUUCUGGAAGUUGCAUUUAUGGCGUAAUCCAAUAAAAAUAUAUGACUUGAGUAAUCCAAGCAACUUGAUCCUUCAUACCCAACACAACACAACACUAACAAUCUCUUUCUCACAAGAGUCUCGAGCAAAAAGCUCCUCUCAUAGUUCACAGGACACUCUAAAAUUAAAUGGAUCCUCUCCCUUCUUCACCUUCUUCAUCAU
RNAcentral lists this long non-coding RNA (27025 nucleotides) under Cucumis sativus (cucumber). Its description in RNAcentral is "long non-coding RNA (CSAT_LNC002588)". Lineage: Eukaryota; Viridiplantae; Streptophyta; Magnoliopsida; Cucurbitales; Cucurbitaceae. The record is from RNAcentral.